This 253-nucleotide ribosomal RNA is filed under the name uncultured bacterium. RNAcentral describes it as "partial 16S ribosomal RNA". It matches the Rfam family "Bacterial small subunit ribosomal RNA", at positions 524 to 776 of the family's 1533-position model. The record is from RNAcentral.
UACAGAGGGUGCGAGCGUUAAUCGGAAUUACUGGGCGUAAAGGGCGCGUAGGCGGCAUGGCAAGUCAGGAGUGAAAGGCCUGGGCUCAACCGAGGAACUGCUUUUGAUACUGCCAAGCUAGAGUGCGGAAGGGGCAACUGGAAUUCCCAGUGUAGCGGUGAAAUGCGUAGAUAUUGGGAAGAACACCUGAGGCGAAGGCGGGUUGCUGGGCCGACACUGACGCUGAGGCGCGAAAGCCAGGGGAGCAAACGGG